AAUAAUACAUGACAAAAUCCGUAUCAUAUGCCGUAUCAUCCCGAGAUACCAAUAUCAGCCAGAGGGCCUUUAGGCCCGAGGGAUGAUAUUGGUCGAGGGUGAUACGGCGUGUGAUACGGAUUUUGACAUGUAUUAUU
This 137-nucleotide small RNA is filed under the name Mytilus galloprovincialis (Mediterranean mussel). The record is from RNAcentral. Lineage: Eukaryota; Metazoa; Mollusca; Bivalvia; Mytilida; Mytilidae.